RNAcentral lists this transfer RNA (92 nucleotides) under Dothistroma septosporum NZE10. RNAcentral describes it as "tRNA-Val for anticodon UAC". Lineage: Eukaryota; Fungi; Ascomycota; Dothideomycetes; Mycosphaerellales; Mycosphaerellaceae. The record is from RNAcentral.
AGCCCGUAGUCUAGCGGUUAUGAUGCUUCCUUUACAGCUCAAUAUUGCACUGCAUCGGAAGAGGUCGCGCGUUCGAGCCGCGCCGGGACCUG